UUACCGGAAAACGCCCCGCCCCCUUGCGGCUACUCCAGCACAUGUCAAGGUCGUCCAGACGGUCGCUACCCCGCCCACACAAGGGGCUGCAGUUUCUUCUUCGAAUGUUACCACGGGGAGUUUCUCAGCUUGCGGCGCUGUACGGCGGACGAGGGAGGCUUCUUUUUCAACCCGGCCACUGGCUCAUGUGACUACCCUCAGAACAUCUGUCCGCCGUGUGGUUACAGAUGGUGGGGAUGUGCACGAACAUACCAGUUGUAGUAAUUAAGUAGACCAGUUCCCUGGAGUGUUCAGAAUGGAGUAUGCCAUCUUCGUCCGCUAGAUAGUCGUCAGAACAAUUUGAUGUCUCGAGACAAGAAAUCAUCAUCAUCAUCAUCAUCAUCAUCAUCAUCAUCAUCAUCACCAUCAUCAUCAUCAUCAUCAUUUCAUACAUUUCAUCUUUCCUUCACGUCUCACAUUCACUACCCUCCACUAUAAUAACGGUGGCUUCACUGUAUUCCGUAUUCUCAUCUGCCCUGCGGAGAGAGAGAGAGAGAGAGAGAGAAGACGGAUAAGAGAAGGAAUAGAACAUCUAAGACUGAGUAAAAAUAGACAUGUUUAAUCUGUCUGAAUAAGGAACAAAAACAUGACAACGAUCCCUAAACAGCGUGCAUGUAGACUGAGUCACAAUAGAAACAACAGAAUAUUCUAGAGAGUUGAAAGAUUCUUUUGUAAAGAGCUGAAGAAUGGAACGACAUUGACGAAUGGGGGGUGGGGGGUUACCAGUAUGACUGUAUAAAUUGUUUGACUGUAAUUUAUUCCAUAAAAAUAAAUGUAUAUUGUAUGUCAUUGUUCACAUCCUUGAACGAUGUACAUAUUAUUUCUUUAAGAAGAGCUCAUCAUCUCGUGUAUAAUUCGCAACUUAGAAAUGAGCAUUUAUGCAAUGUCACCCAUUUUAUUCACAUAUUUAUUUCAAAAGUUGAACUGAUAACGAUAUGUAGUCUGUUGUUAUCACUAAGUGUUCAUGCAUAUCAUUUAUCGAAAUUUUACGUAUGGCUUACAUGUGUGUGUGUGUGUGUGUGUGUGUGUGUGUGUGUGUGUGUGUGUGUGUGUGUGUUCAUAAUGUGUACGAUAUAGAUUACCGAGGCUGCCUGGUGCUGAAGAACCGUGACGACAAAAUGAAUGUGCCCUGAGUGAAUUUUGUCAAGAGCCUUUUGCUGACGCUGUUUGUAUCUGUUUGUUCAUCGUUUGGUGUCUUUUGGGGUAUGUCCAUGCGCGAGUUGUGUUCAUGCGUUCAUGUUCAUGUAUGCCUGUUAGUAUGUAUGUCCGUUUGUGUUUUAGAACUUACGAAAAAACAAACAGAUUUUGGUUCACGUUUUUCAAGAGGACGCAUAUAAUGAGUACUAGACUGAUAUUGUUUGAUUGUUCCCAAAUUCAUGUUUUUCUCCUCCUGUUUUCAUGAGUCCACAAACGUUUGCAAGUGAGAAAGCUUUAUGAGUAUGUGUGAGUGUUUCCUAAAGUUACGUUAUAAUCAAUCUUUUCCCAUUUUGUUUAUCAAGUUAUCAAUGUCAUUCCACAUGUGUGUACCUAUAUUGUAAAUAGCAUUGAAAAGUGUAGUUACAUAUGUGUCUGUUACAAAAUAUGUCCAAGAAUGUCCGAUGGCAGAGGGAGAUGUCUAAAAGAGAGUGAGAAUGGAGAAUGAGAGAGACAGCGAGAGAGAGAGAGUGAGAGAGAAAGAAGGAGAGAGAGAGAGAGAGAGAGAGAGAGAGAGAGAGAGAGAGAGAGAGAGAGAGAGAGAAGCUGAAUAAGUGAUUUCAUACAUAAAUGUUACGUACAUAAAGGCGUAAGAGUACUUAUUCAUGAUCUGAAAGUAAAACGCUUCCUGUAGAUAUUUUCAAUAAAUAAUAACUGUAUACUCGUAUAUUGUACAGAUUGAGGAACAUAUAAAUAAAAUUCACAAGAUAACAAACAA
Molecule: long non-coding RNA, 1951 nt
Organism: Aplysia californica (California sea hare)
Lineage: Eukaryota; Metazoa; Mollusca; Gastropoda; Aplysiida; Aplysiidae
Exons: 2
Source: RefSeq, a predicted model, not a curated record